UCUCUCCCCUUGGGCUGGGCUUUGGCUUCGAUGAGUCAGGCUGACUGUGCCUGGAACGGACUGUCUGCCAAGGAGGAGUCAGCCUGAGAACAGCCAGGGGAGGCAGCUUGCCACUGGGGGACCAGCGGGUCUCCUCUCCUUGGUGCGCGCAGUGUCCCUGCCUCGGAGACCCGCCCUGCAGACCCCACCCGAGGCGUUCCGGGCCGGCGAGCUGCUGGAUCCCCGGGGAGCUGGGCAGGAAGCCCUGCGUUCCCACUGGCGCUGGCGCUGGCGAUCCUUGAUGCUGACCCGUCCCGCCUUCCUCUGAGCGAGGCCUUCCCAUCUCUUCUCUCACCUGCCACACAGCGCCACGCCACGGCCCUGACCUCCCACAGCACCUGCCACACAGCGCCACGCCACGGCCCUGACCUCCCACAGCACCUGCCACACAGCACCACGCCACGGCCCUGACCGCCCACAGCACCUGCCACACAGCACCACGCCACGGCCCUGACCUCCCACAGCACCUGCCAUACAGCACCACGCCACGGCCCUGACCUCCCACAGCUGCCACACAGCACCACGCCACGCCCUGACCUCCCACAGCACCUGCCAUACAGCACCACGCCACGGCCCUGACCUCCCACAGCUGCCACACAGCACCACGCCACGGCCCUGACCUCCCAUAGCUGCCACACAGCACCAUGCCACGGCCCUGACCUCCCACAGCUGCCACACAGCACCAUGCCACGGCUCUGACCUCCCACAGCACCUGCCAUACAGCACCACGCCACGGCCCUGACCUCCCACAGCACCUGCCACACAGUGCCACGCCACGGCCCUGACCUCCCACAGCUGCCACACAGCACCAUGCCACGGCCCUGACCUCCCACAGCUGCCACACAGCACCAUGCCACGGCUCUGACCUCCCACAGCACCUGCCAUACAGCACCACGCCACGGCCCUGACCUCCCACAGCUGCCACACAGCACCAUGCCACGGCCCUGACCUCCCACAGCUGCCACACAGCACCAUGCCACGGCUCUGACCUCCCACAGCACCUGCCACACAGCACCACGCCACGGCCCUGACCUCCCACAGCUGCCACACAGCACCAUGCCAUGGCCCUGACCUCCCACAGCACCUGCCACACAGCGCCACGCCACGGCCCUGACCUCCCACAGCACCUGCCACACAGCACCACACCACGGCCCUGACCUCCCACAGCACCUGCCACACAGCGCCACGCCACGGCCCUGACCUCCCACAGCACCUGCCACACAGCACCAUGCCACGGCCCUGACCUCCCACAGCACCUGCCACACAGCACCAUGCCACGGCUCUGACCUCCCACAGCACCUGCCACACAGCACCACGCCACGGCCCUGACCUCCCACAGCAAACAAACGAGAAGACACCCUGCUCCCAGGGUUGGCUCAGGAGAUCCAAGGUCAGCGAGCCAGGCGCUGCCCUCACCCCCACAGCCACGUGGGGACAGACAACAAAGUGUCCGAACAGGGAUGGGAUGUGUUCUCAUGAUGCUGCAAUAAAUUUCACAAUAGCUACAACUAUUUUGCUAUAAAAUAUG
Long non-coding RNA from Myotis daubentonii (Daubenton's bat), 1567 nucleotides. RefSeq lists it as uncharacterized. The record is from RefSeq and is a predicted model, not a curated record. NCBI's taxonomy places the organism in Eukaryota, Metazoa, Chordata, Mammalia, Chiroptera, Vespertilionidae.